GGGCCUGUAGCUCAAUCGGUCAGAGCGGGCCGCUCAUAACGGUCUGGUUGCAGGUUCGAGUCCUGCCGGGCCCACCA
Molecule: transfer RNA, 77 nt
Filed under: Rhodospirillales bacterium
Lineage: Bacteria; Pseudomonadati; Pseudomonadota; Alphaproteobacteria; Rhodospirillales
Description: tRNA-Ile
Rfam family: tRNA
About the family: Transfer RNA (tRNA) molecules are approximately 80 nucleotides in length. Their secondary structure includes four short double-helical elements and three loops (D, anti-codon, and T loops).
Source: RNAcentral